CCUACGGGGGGCAGCAGUGAGGAAUAUUGGUCAAUGGCCGGAAGGCUGAACCAGCCAUGCCGCGUGAAGGUCAGUGCCCUAUGGGCGUUAAACUUCUUUUGUUCGGGAGCAAUAAUGGUCACGUGUGGCCAGACGAGAGUACCGUACGAAUAAGCAUCGGCUAACUCCGUGCCAGCAGCCGCGGUAAGACGGGGGAUGCAAGCGUUAUCCGGAUUUAUUGGGUUUAAAGGGUGCGUAGGCGGCCUUUUAAGUCAGCGGUGAAAGUCUUGGGCUCAACCAUAGAAUUGCCGUUGAAACUGGGAGGCUUGAGUAUGUUUGAGGUAGGCGGAAGGCGGGGUGGAGCGGAGAAAUGCUUAGAUAUCACGCAGAACCCCGAUUGCGAAGGCAGCCUGCCAAGCCAUGACUGACGCUGAUGCACGAAAGCGUGGGGAUCAAACAGGAUUAGAUACCCCGGUAGUC
RNAcentral lists this ribosomal RNA (459 nucleotides) under uncultured bacterium. RNAcentral's name for it is "partial 16S ribosomal RNA". It matches the Rfam family "Bacterial small subunit ribosomal RNA", at positions 338 to 795 of the family's 1533-position model. The record is from RNAcentral.